This 117-nucleotide ribosomal RNA is filed under the name bacterium. The record is from RNAcentral.
CUCCGUGAUCAUAGCAGAGAGGCCACACCCGUUCCCAUUCCGAACACGGUCGUUAAGCUCUUUUGCGCCGAUGAUACUGCACUGGUGACGGUGUGGGAAAGUAGGACAUCGCGGGGG